RNAcentral lists this transfer RNA (397 nucleotides) under Xanthomonas campestris pv. zinniae. RNAcentral's name for it is "16S-23S ribosomal RNA intergenic spacer". The stretch from base 95 to 168 matches the Rfam family "tRNA". Lineage: Bacteria; Pseudomonadati; Pseudomonadota; Gammaproteobacteria; Lysobacterales; Lysobacteraceae. The record is from RNAcentral.
GGGCCUUAGCUCAGCUGGGAGAGCACCUGCUUUGCAAGCAGGGGGUCGUCGGUUCGAUCCCGACAGGCUCCACCAUAUUGAGUGAAAAGACUUCGGGUCUGUAGCUCAGGUGGUUAGAGCGCACCCCUGAUAAGGGUGAGGUCGGUAGUUCGAGUCUACCCAGACCCACCACUCUGAAUGUAGUGCACACUUAAGAAUUUAUAUGGAUCAGCGUUGAGGCUGAUACAUGUUCUUUUAUAACUUGUGACGUAGCGAGCGUUUGAGAUAUCUAUCUAAACGUGUCGUUGAGGCUAAGGCGGGGACUUCGAGUCCCUAAAUAAUUGAGUCGUAUGUUCGCGUUGGUGGCUUUGUACCCCACACAACACGGCAUAUAGCUCCGAGGCAACUUGGGGUUAUA